GCAAAUACAACAAAUCUGCGUGGUGAAAUAUGCUAUUCAAGUCUCUGGGAUAUCAGUGAAGCAAUUAAGGAUCCUAAGUUCACUAAAGACACAUCCAGGAACCUGUAUUUUAAGCUUGAACCGAAUGACUUUUGCUCAAACGUUAGUACAACAUUUGAGCAAAAAACUUGUGAUAACCCCAAUUCCACCUUUAACAUAAUAACGUCCAUCCCAGUUGAACUUUUCAUGGAUGAGCAAAAAGUUGAUUUGACACACCCACAAGUUCUUCCUGCAAUAUUAAAGUGGACUAAUAAGCCAGUAAAUUGUUCGAGCAAACUCACCUUUAAUUACACCUGUCGGGGGGACAACCAAAAUGAAUUUUUUUCUGCGAUGGUAACUGACAACGAUACUGUUUUGCCUGAGAUGGAACCCUUUACAGCAUACAAUUGUACCAGCCGUAUUCAUGGCAGCAAUAAAAGCUUUGAAAAGACCACACAUUUAAAAAUUGCCUGUG
This is a long non-coding RNA of Esox lucius (northern pike), 493 nucleotides long. The record is from Ensembl. Lineage: Eukaryota; Metazoa; Chordata; Actinopteri; Esociformes; Esocidae.